RNAcentral lists this ribosomal RNA (450 nucleotides) under uncultured bacterium. Its description in RNAcentral is "partial 16S ribosomal RNA". It matches the Rfam family "Bacterial small subunit ribosomal RNA", at positions 354 to 796 of the family's 1533-position model. The record is from RNAcentral.
GUGGGGAAUUUUGGACAAUGGGCGCAAGCCUGAUCCAGCAAUGCCGCGUGCAGGAAGAAGGCCUUCGGGUUGUAAACUGCUUUUGUACGGAACGAAACGGUCCUGGCUAAUAUCCGGGGCUAAUGACGGUACCGUAAGAAUAAGCACCGGCUAACUACGUGCCAGCAGCCGCGGUAAUACGUAGGGUGCGAGCGUUAAUCGGAAUUACUGGGCGUAAAGCGUGCGCAGGCGGUGCUGUAAGACAGGCGUGAAAUCCCCGGGCUCAACCUGGGAAUUGCGCUUGUGACUGCAGGGCUGGAGUGCGGCAGAGGGGGAUGGAAUUCCGCGUGUAGCAGUGAAAUGCGUAGAUAUGCGGAGGAACACCGAUGGCGAAGGCAAUCCCCUGGGCCUGCACUGACGCUCAUGCACGAAAGCGUGGGGAGCAAACAGGAUUAGAAACCCUGGUAGUCC